UGGUGUUUGUUUUCCUUUUCCGCUUGUAACGAGCCUAUAUAAUAGGCACCUCUUGAAUUCAAUAAAUGACAGAAGGAGUAUCGUGUUUCAAGCAGAAGCAUUGAGUGCUGUUGUUUCUUCAGUCUAUAUUAAUCCUCUGUUCUUAAAUUGAUUCUGCAGAAUUUCCUUCAAAGUGGUAUCAGAGCCUGGUUCCGUGCAUUGCUGGGCAUAGAAAAGUUGAGUUUUGUUAGAAACACGUAAGGGAGAGGGAGAGUUAUCAGUGUCUUCUGUUUGCAUCAAUGGCAAGUUCAAAUGCAAUGACUGCUUCUCAACCUUUGAUUCCAGU
Molecule: long non-coding RNA, 325 nt
Filed under: Manihot esculenta (cassava)
Lineage: Eukaryota; Viridiplantae; Streptophyta; Magnoliopsida; Malpighiales; Euphorbiaceae
Description: long non-coding RNA (MESC_LNC012334)
Source: RNAcentral